CUAGUAAUCGCGGAUCAGAAUGCCGCGGUGAAUACGUUCCCGGGUCUUGUACACACCGCCCGUCACACCAUGGGAGUCGGAAAUGCCCGAAGCCAGUGACCCAACUGAAAGGAGGGAGCUGUCGAAGGCAGGUCUGAUAACUGGGGUGAAGUCGUAACAAGGUAAC
RNAcentral lists this ribosomal RNA (166 nucleotides) under uncultured bacterium. Its description in RNAcentral is "partial 16S ribosomal RNA". It matches the Rfam family "Bacterial small subunit ribosomal RNA", at positions 1335 to 1500 of the family's 1533-position model. The record is from RNAcentral.